RNAcentral lists this ribosomal RNA (432 nucleotides) under uncultured bacterium. RNAcentral describes it as "bacterial SSU rRNA". It matches the Rfam family "Bacterial small subunit ribosomal RNA", at positions 340 to 786 of the family's 1533-position model. The record is from RNAcentral.
UACGGAAGGCAGCAGUGGGGAAUCUUGCGCAAUGGGCGAAAGCCUGACGCAGCCAUGCCGCGUGAAUGAUGAAGGUCUUAGGAUUGUAAAAUUCUUUCACCGGGGACGAUAAUGACGGUACCCGGAGAAGAAGCCCCGGCUAACUUCGUGCCAGCAGCCGCGGUAAUACGAAGGGGCUAGCGUUGCUCGGAAUUACUGGGCGUAAAGGGAGCGUAGGCGGACAUUUAAGUCAGGGGUGAAAUCCCGGGGCUCAACCUCGGAAUUGCCUUUUGAUACUGGGUGUCUUGAGUAUGAGAGGGGUGUGUGGAACUCCGAGUGUAGAGGUGAAAUUCGUAGAUAUUCGGAAGAACACCAGUGGCGAAAGGCGACACACUGGCUCAUUACUGACGCUGAGGCUCGAAAGCGUGGGGAGCAAACAGGGAUUUAGAUACC